UACGGGGGGGGCAAGCGUUGUUCGGAAUUACUGGGCGUAAAGGGCUCGUAGGUGGCCAACUAAGUCAGACGUGAAAUCCCUCAGCUUAACUGGGGAACUGCGUCUGAUACUGGAUGGCUUGAGUUUGGGAGAGGGAUGCGGAAUUCCAGGUGUAGCGGUGAAAUGCGCAGAUAUCAGGAGGAACACCAGCGGCGAAGGCGGCGCUCUGGGCCGGAACUGACGCUGAGGAGCGAAAGCGUGGGUAGCAAACAGG
Molecule: ribosomal RNA, 253 nt
Filed under: uncultured bacterium
Lineage: Bacteria
Description: partial 16S ribosomal RNA
Rfam family: Bacterial small subunit ribosomal RNA
Source: RNAcentral